CGGUAGCCAAGUGUUAUCAUAUAACUUCCUUCUGUGGUCGAAUCGUGAGUUUAGUAUGACGUCCAUUAUCACUGAACUAGUAUACAUAUUUGUUUAGGGGCCAGUUGAAGGACGCCUCAGGGUGCGGGAGCUUCUCGCUGCAUCGAAGACCCAUUGGUGGUCUUCGGCUAUUAUCUGCUCUAUGGUCGGGUUGUUGUCUCUUUGACAUAUUCCCCAUUUCC
Molecule: long non-coding RNA, 221 nt
Filed under: Mytilus galloprovincialis (Mediterranean mussel)
Lineage: Eukaryota; Metazoa; Mollusca; Bivalvia; Mytilida; Mytilidae
Source: RNAcentral